CACCAGGUUGAUUCUGCCUGACGUGGAUGCUAGUCUCUGAGGUUAAGCCAUGCAUGUUUAUGAAGCUCGUGUGGGUGGAUUGAUAGACGGCUCAGUAAUACUGCGAUGAUUUGAUCGUGCUAGCCUGGGGUAACUACGGGAAACUGUAGGUAGAGUGGGCGUGGUUGUAUUUGUUGCGGGACGAAUGGGGAGACCCGUUCGUGUCGUGGGGGGUAUGAUGUGGCGAGUAAGUUGCAGACCUAUCAACUGGUAGUUAGGGUAAUGGCCUAACUAGGUGAUGACGGGAGACGGGGGAUUGGGGUUUGAUUCCGGAGAGGGAGCCUGAGAGAUGGCUACUACGUCCAAGGAUGGCAGCAGGCGCGAAACUUGCCUAAUCUAUUUUUAGGAGGCAGUUAUGGGACGUGAUAUAUGAGAUGGAUUGUAAAGAGAUCUGUUAUGAUUGGAGGGCAAGUCGGGUGCCAGCAGCCGCGGUAAUACCUGCUCCGAUAGUGUCUAUGGUGAAUGCUGCAGUUAAAAGGUCCGUAGUCAGGCGACUGGAUGUAUGUUUGAUUUAUGGAUUGUUUGUGGAUGAGAUUGGAUGUAUGUUUUGUGUUGACGCAACAGAUGAGGGAUAUGGGAUAGUUGGGCGAGAGGUGAAAUGUGAUGACCCUGACUGGACGAACUGAAGCGAAAGCGAUAUUCUUGGAUGGGUGAGUGGAUCAAGGACGAAGGCUGGAGGAUCGAAAUCGAUUAGAUACCGUUUUAGUUCCAGCAGUAAACGAUGCCGACUCUGUGGUACCUGUGAGGUAAGUGCGGAUGAGAAAUUAGUUAGUAUGUGGGCUCUGGGGAUAGUAUGUUCGCAAGGAUGAAACUUAAAGAGAUU
RNAcentral lists this ribosomal RNA (862 nucleotides) under Microsporidium sp. BLAT12. RNAcentral describes it as "SSU rRNA". It matches the Rfam family "Microsporidia small subunit ribosomal RNA", at positions 1 to 788 of the family's 1311-position model. Lineage: Eukaryota; Fungi; Microsporidia. The record is from RNAcentral.